AUUAAGCAUAUAAUUAAGCGGAGGAAAAGAAACUAACCAGGAUUCCCCCAGUAAGGGCGACUGAAGCGGGAAGUGCUCAGGAUGUGAAUCUGCGCUGUGCGCCGAAUUGUGGUCUGUAGACGGUGGCGCUACUAGCCGGGCCAAGUCCCUUGGAAAAGGGCAGCUGAGAGGGUGAGACUCCCGUCCGCCUGGCAAGGUGAGCUACCAGUCGACGAGUCGAGUUGUUUGGGAUUGCAGCUCAAAGUGGGUGGUAAAUUCCAUCUAAAGCUAAAUAUUGGUGGGAGACCGAUAGCGUACAAGUACCGUGAGGGAAAGAUGCAAAGAACUUUGAAAAGAGAGUUAAAGAGUACCUGAAAUUGCUGAAAGGGAAGCGAAGGAAACCAGUGUUGGCUCAGUCAUAUUUCCCUGGCCGCUGGCGGCUUGGGCGCUGUGUCUGGCUUGUGUUGUGCUUGGUUGGAUCCUUUGGAAGAGCUCGGAGGGAGUUGACCUCCGCUGCUAGCACUGGAUCCGACCGAGCAGGACGAAAUGGUUUUCUUUACCCCGUCUUGAAACACGGACCAAGGAGUCUAACAUAUGUGCGAGUACAGGGGUGGCAAACCCCCGUGCGCAAUGAAAGUGACAGUGGUUGGACGUUUUGGCACAAUCCGCCGGCCUCAAUCCCUCGGGAGAACGGUCUGAGUGUGAGCAUACAUGUUGGGACCCGAAAGAUGGUGAACUAUGCCUGAAUAGGGUGAAGCCAGGGGAAACUCUGGUGGAGGCUCGUAGCGAUUCUGACGUGCAAAUCGAUCGUCAAAUUUGGGUAUAGGGGCGAAAGACUAAUCGAACCAUCUAGUAGCUG
RNAcentral lists this ribosomal RNA (838 nucleotides) under Nitzschia sp. 1 SuS-2017. RNAcentral's name for it is "partial large subunit ribosomal RNA". It matches the Rfam family "Eukaryotic large subunit ribosomal RNA", at positions 33 to 953 of the family's 3401-position model. Lineage: Eukaryota; Bacillariophyta; Bacillariophyceae; Bacillariales; Bacillariaceae. The record is from RNAcentral.